Molecule: transfer RNA, 77 nt
Filed under: Paraferrimonas haliotis
Lineage: Bacteria; Pseudomonadati; Pseudomonadota; Gammaproteobacteria; Alteromonadales; Ferrimonadaceae
Description: tRNA-Pro
Rfam family: tRNA
About the family: Transfer RNA (tRNA) molecules are approximately 80 nucleotides in length.
Source: RNAcentral
CGGGCAUUAGCGCAGUCUGGUAGCGCACCGUGCUGGGGGCGCGGUGGUCACAGGUUCAAAUCCUGUAUGCCCGACCA